Echinops telfairi (small Madagascar hedgehog) is the source of this 105-nucleotide small nuclear RNA. The record is from RefSeq and is a predicted model, not a curated record. Lineage: Eukaryota; Metazoa; Chordata; Mammalia; Afrosoricida; Tenrecidae.
UUCAGCAGCAUAUACAAGUAUACUAAAAUGGGAACAAUACAGAGAAGAUUAGCAUGGCCCCUGGGCAAGGAUGACAUGCAAAUUCGUGAAGCAUUCCAUAUGUGU